This 632-nucleotide ribosomal RNA is filed under the name Rhizobium sp. FL42. RNAcentral's name for it is "partial 16S ribosomal RNA". The stretch from base 491 to 632 matches the Rfam family "Bacterial small subunit ribosomal RNA", at positions 875 to 1007 of the family's 1533-position model. The record is from RNAcentral. Lineage: Bacteria; Pseudomonadati; Pseudomonadota; Alphaproteobacteria; Hyphomicrobiales; Rhizobiaceae.
CCCUUUUGGGCCCCCUUUUUUUUUUUGGAAAAUUUAAAACCCUUGGGGUUCCCGGAAAUUUUUCCUUUUGGGGAAAGGGUUUUAAAUUUGGGGGAAAAAAAGGGAAAAGGGGGGUUUAAAAAAAGGGUUGGGGGGAAAAUUUUUUCCCCCCCGGAAAGGUUUGGUUUAAAGGAAGGGGGUUGGGAAAAAAAUUUUUUCGGGUUAAGGAAAUUAAUUUUCGGGGAGGGGAAAACCCACCCCCAAGUUGGGGCCGGAAAGGGGCCGGGGCUUUUAACUUGGGGUUCCCCAAUUUACUUGGAACCGGCUUGGAAAGUUGGCGGAAAAAGGGCGUGGGGGGGAGGCCAAACAAGGGAUUUAGGAUUACCCCCUUGGUUAGUCCCACCGCCCCGUUAAAAGCGGAUUGAAAUUGUUUAGGCCGUUCGGGGGCAAGUUAUACCUGUUUUCGGUGGGCGCCAAGCUUAAACCGCAUUUAAAACAUUUCCGGCCUGGGGGGAGUUACGGUCGCAAAGAUUUAAAAACUCAAAAGGAAUUUGAACGGGGGCCCCGCACAAGGCGGUGGAGCAUGUGGUUUAAUUUCGAAGCAACGCGCAGAACCUUACCAGCCCUUGAAUCCUGUGUUACCGUAGAGAUAU